RNAcentral lists this long non-coding RNA (546 nucleotides) under Dasypus novemcinctus (nine-banded armadillo). RNAcentral's name for it is "lncRNA (ENSDNOG00000052590.1)". Lineage: Eukaryota; Metazoa; Chordata; Mammalia; Cingulata; Dasypodidae. The record is from RNAcentral.
GAGCAGUAGGACCCAGGGGCCUCCAAAGCCACCAAUAGAAGCGCACAUUGAGCCUAUUUGUAUGCAAUGCCGUCUGCUCUGCGCAUUAAUAGUAAUACAGAUAACGGGUUUGAAAGAAUUCUUUACUGAAGAAGGAUUGGAUUUUUCCAGGGUGCUGAUACUAGGAAGAAAUUCGACUUCACUCGCUCUCUCCGUUUCCUCCUCCUACGUUUAAAAGUCUCAGGCUGCUUUUGCUUGGUUUGAACUCGGAAAGGUCUCCGUGCACAGCAAAGUUGGAGGGCUGCGUCUGCACCACCGAGCCGCUCGAUUUCUGAAAACUGUUCUUGGAAGAUAAAGCAUAUCUGUUAUCACUGGCCUGGUGUAAUGCAAGGAAAGAACAAACAUGAAAUGGAAACAUUUUCCUUUUUGGGUCAUAAUAUCACUCCUCAGCUUGUCAGGAAAUCAUCUGUUCCUAGCACAGCUUAUUCCAGGUCAACAAGCCUUGAGUAUGAAAUUGUCUGAAAUGAUUUACUGCUUAUACGCCCCACCCAUCCAUCCACCUGACCA